RNAcentral lists this ribosomal RNA (497 nucleotides) under uncultured bacterium. RNAcentral's name for it is "partial 16S ribosomal RNA". It matches the Rfam family "Bacterial small subunit ribosomal RNA", at positions 28 to 507 of the family's 1533-position model. The record is from RNAcentral.
GACGAACGCUGGCGGCGUGCCUAAUACAUGCAAGUUGAGCGCUGAAGGUUGGUACUUGUUCCAACUGGAUGAGCAGCGAACGGGUGAGUAACGCGUGGGUAAUCUGCCUUUGAGCGGGGGACAACAUUUGGAAACUAAUGCUAAUACCGCAUAAAAACUUUAAACACAAGUUUUAAGUUUGAAAGAUGCAAUUGCAUCACUCAAAGAUGAUCCCGCGUUGUAUUAGCUAGUUGGUGAGGUAAAGGCUCACCAAGGCGAUGAUACAUAGCCGACCUGAGAGGGAGAACGGCCAAAUUGGGAAUGAGACAAGGCCCAAAAUCCUAAGGGAGGCAGCAGUAGGGAAUCUUCGGAAAUGGACGAAAGUCUGACCGAGCAAAGCCGCGUGAGUGAAGAAGGUUUUCGGAUCGUAAAACUCUGUUGGUAGAGAAGAAAGUUGGUGAGAGUGGAAAGCUCAUCAAGUGACGGUAACUACCCAGAAAGGGACGGCUAACUACGUG